AUCCAGAUAACGAGUCCCAAACAGGACGAAAUGCGCAGCCUGGAU
This 45-nucleotide non-coding RNA is filed under the name Trichobilharzia regenti. The record is from RNAcentral. Lineage: Eukaryota; Metazoa; Platyhelminthes; Trematoda; Strigeidida; Schistosomatidae.